This 253-nucleotide ribosomal RNA is filed under the name uncultured bacterium. RNAcentral describes it as "partial 16S ribosomal RNA". It matches the Rfam family "Bacterial small subunit ribosomal RNA", at positions 524 to 776 of the family's 1533-position model. The record is from RNAcentral.
UACGUAGGUGACCAGCGUUGUCCGGAUUUACUGGGCGUAAAGAGCGCGCAGGCGGUCGUUCAAGUCGAGUGUGAAAGCCCCCGGCUCAACUGGGGAGGGUCACUCGAUACUGAUCGACUUGAAGGCAGGAGAGGGAAGCGGAAUUCCCGGUGUAGUGGUGAAAUGCGUAGAUAUCGGGAGGAACACCAGUGGCGAAGGCGGCCUUCUGGACAGUGACUGACGCUGAGACGCGAAAGCGUGGGGAGCAAACAGG